AUUUUCUAAAUUUAUGUUUUAAAUGGUAUUUUGGUAUUUUCAAGUUAAAAGACAUACUCCAAUUCGCGAAAUCCGUGCGUGCAACAUACAUUCACCUCGUAAAAAUCUUAUUAGCUUUGAUUAAUUUCUAUAAGGGGAUAUUUGCUAAUAUUUUUAACAUGAGCGUUUUUUCAGCAAUUAAAGAUUACACACGCAUAAUUCUUGCAAAAACGCAAAUUGAGAGGUUCUAAUAACUAUUAAAUUUAUCCAAAGAAAAUAAUAUUGCGUCG
Molecule: long non-coding RNA, 269 nt
Filed under: Erythranthe guttata (spotted monkey flower)
Lineage: Eukaryota; Viridiplantae; Streptophyta; Magnoliopsida; Lamiales; Phrymaceae
Description: long non-coding RNA (EGUT_LNC000304)
Source: RNAcentral